RNAcentral lists this ribosomal RNA (349 nucleotides) under uncultured gregarine. RNAcentral's name for it is "partial 18S ribosomal RNA". It matches the Rfam family "Eukaryotic small subunit ribosomal RNA", at positions 1347 to 1720 of the family's 1831-position model. The record is from RNAcentral. Lineage: Eukaryota; Apicomplexa; Conoidasida.
CCUGCUAAAUAGUCACUAUANNANACGCUGUAGUUGUACUUCUUAAAGGGACUGUGUGCGCGAACACAAGGAAGUUCAAAGCAAUAACAGGUCUGUGAUGCCCUUAGAUGUUCUGGGCUGCACGCGCGCUACACUGAUGCAUUCAGCGAGUAUUUCCUGACUUGAAGAGGUCGGGUAAUCUUGUGAACAUGUAUCGUGAUGGGGAUUGACAAUUGUAAUUAUUUGUCAUGAACGANGAAUUCCUANUANGNGCAAGUCAUUNNCUUGCGCUGAUUACGUCCCUGCCCUUUGUACNCACCGCCCGUCGCCUCAAUCGACUGGAUGAUUCGGUGAAUGACUCNNACUGNAA